Molecule: ribosomal RNA, 510 nt
Filed under: uncultured bacterium
Lineage: Bacteria
Description: partial 16S ribosomal RNA
Rfam family: Bacterial small subunit ribosomal RNA
Source: RNAcentral
GACGAACGCUGGCGGCGUGCUUAACACAUGCAAGUCGAACGAAGAGCGAUGGAAGCUUGCUUCUAUCAAUCUUAGUGGCGAACGGGUGAGUAACGCGUAAUCAACCUGCCCUUCAGAGGGGGACAACAGUUGGAAACGACUGCUAAUACCGCAUACGAUCUAAUCUCGGCAUCGAGGAUAGAUGAAAGGUGGCCUCUACAUGUAAGCUAUCACUGAAGGAGGGGAUUGCGUCUGAUUAGCUAGUUGGAGGGGUAACGGCCCACCAAGGCGAUGAUCAGUAGCGGGUCUGAGAGGAUGAACGGCCACAUUGGGACUGAGACACGGCCCAGACUCCUACGGGAGGCAGCAGUGGGGAAUCUUCCGCAAUGGACGAAAGUCUGACGGAGCAACGCCGCGUGAGUGAUGACGGCCUUCGGGUUGUAAAGCUCUGUUAAUCGGGACGAAAGGCCUUCUUGCGAAUAGUGAGAAGGAUUGACGGUACCGGAAUAGAAAGCCACGGCUAACUACGUG